GACGAACGCUGGCGGCGUGCCUAAUACAUGCAAGUCGAACGCUUCUUUCCUCCCGAGUGCUUGCACUCAAUUGGAAAGAGGAGUGGCGGACGGGUGAGUAACACGUGGGUAACCUACCCAUCAGAGGGGGAUAACACUUGGAAACAGGUGCUAAUACCGCAUAACAGUUUAUGCCGCAUGGCAUAAGAGUGAAAGGCGCUUUCGGGUGUCGCUGAUGGAUGGACCCGCGGUGCAUUAGCUAGUUGGUGAGGUAACGGCUCACCAAGGCCACGAUGCAUAGCCGACCUGGGAGGGUGAUCGGCCACACUGGGACGGAGACACGGCCCAGACUCCUACGGGAGGCAGCAGUAGGGAAUCUUCGGCAAUGGACGAAAGUCUGACCGAGCAACGCCGCGUGAGUGAAGAAGGUUUUCGGAUCGUAAAACUCUGUUGUUAGAGAAGAACAAGGACGUUAGUAACUGAACGUCCCCUGACGGUAUCUAACCAGAAAGCCACGGCUAACUACGUG
This 508-nucleotide ribosomal RNA is filed under the name uncultured bacterium. RNAcentral's name for it is "partial 16S ribosomal RNA". It matches the Rfam family "Bacterial small subunit ribosomal RNA", at positions 28 to 507 of the family's 1533-position model. The record is from RNAcentral.